RNAcentral lists this ribosomal RNA (496 nucleotides) under uncultured bacterium. Its description in RNAcentral is "partial 16S ribosomal RNA". It matches the Rfam family "Bacterial small subunit ribosomal RNA", at positions 28 to 506 of the family's 1533-position model. The record is from RNAcentral.
GAUGAACGCUGGCGGCGUGCCUAAUACAUGCAAGUCGAGCGAACGGACGAGAAGCUUGCUUCUCUGAUGUUAGCGGCGGACGGGUGAGUUACACGUGGAUAACCUACCUAUAAGACUGGGAUAACUUCGGGAAACCGUAGCUAAUACCGGAUAAUAUUUUGAACCGCAUGGUUCAAAAGUGAAAGACGGUCUUGCUGUCACUUAUAGAUGGAUCCGCGCUGCAUUAGCUAGUUGGUAAGGUAACGGCUUACCAAGGCAACGAUGCAUAGCCGACCUGAGAGGGUGAUCGCCCCCCCGGGAAAGGACACACGGUCCAGACCCCUACGGGGGGCACCAGUGGGGAAUCUUCCGCAAGGGGCGAAACCCUGCCGGAGAAACGCCGGGGGGGUGAAGAAGGCUUUCGGAUCGUAAAACUUUUUUUUUGGGGAAGAACGUAUGUGUAAGUAACUUUGCACUCUUUGCCGGUACCAAAUCAAAAACCCCCGCCUAACUACGU